RNAcentral lists this ribosomal RNA (645 nucleotides) under Salmonella enterica subsp. enterica serovar Kottbus. Its description in RNAcentral is "partial 23S ribosomal RNA". It matches the Rfam family "Bacterial large subunit ribosomal RNA", at positions 2261 to 2900 of the family's 2925-position model. The record is from RNAcentral. Lineage: Bacteria; Pseudomonadati; Pseudomonadota; Gammaproteobacteria; Enterobacterales; Enterobacteriaceae.
GUGGGUAGUUUGACUGGGGCGGUCUCCUCCUAAAGAGUAACGGAGGAGCACGAAGGUUGGCUAAUCCUGGUCGGACAUCAGGAGGUUAGUGCAAUGGCAUAAGCCAGCUUGACUGCGAGCGUGACGGCGCGAGCAGGUGCGAAAGCAGGUCAUAGUGAUCCGGUGGUUCUGAAUGGAAGGGCCAUCGCUCAACGGAUAAAAGGUACUCCGGGGAUAACAGGCUGAUACCGCCCAAGAGUUCAUAUCGACGGCGGUGUUUGGCACCUCGAUGUCGGCUCAUCACAUCCUGGGGCUGAAGUAGGUCCCAAGGGUAUGGCUGUUCGCCAUUUAAAGUGGUACGCGAGCUGGGUUUAGAACGUCGUGAGACAGUUCGGUCCCUAUCUGCCGUGGGCGCUGGAGAACUGAGGGGGGCUGCUCCUAGUACGAGAGGACCGGAGUGGACGCAUCACUGGUGUUCGGGUUGUCAUGCCAAUGGCACUGCCCGGUAGCUAAAUGCGGAAGAGAUAAGUGCUGAAAGCAUCUAAGCACGAAACUUGCCCCGAGAUGAGUUCUCCCUGAGACUUUAAGUCUCCUGAAGGAACGUUGAAGACGACGACGUUGAUAGGCCGGGUGUGUAAGCGCAGCGAUGCGUUGAGCUAACCGGUA